RNAcentral lists this long non-coding RNA (1023 nucleotides) under Amphimedon queenslandica. Its description in RNAcentral is "uncharacterized LOC109584448, transcript variant X1". Lineage: Eukaryota; Metazoa; Porifera; Demospongiae; Haplosclerida; Niphatidae. The record is from RNAcentral.
CCAGUCGUGAUGCCAGUAGAAAAUCUCCUGCUGGUUCUACUAGACUCAAACCAAAUCAGUCCCAACUUCUUCAAUUGUCCUAGUCAAAGUGAUGGGGUAGGUAAGGAGGGGACUGUACCAGAAUCCUUAUUGAAACAAGCUCGUAAAACAGGUUCACCGGCUGAACCUGUGAAACAGGGGCAUUAGUGUUUCCUCCUAAACUGUGGAGACUCAAUAUUGAUCCUCCUGAUGGUAGUACUGCUUCAUUUGAUGUUGAUGAGAGAUGGUAGGACCAGGUCGAACUGACUAGACUGGAUCCAUCAUCUAAUGAAAUCAAAGAAAUAUCUGAAGAUAUUGAAAACUUUAAUUGAUUGUCAGCACUUGAGGUCCAGUACAAUGAGUUAACAUGUCUACCUAAUAAUGUGAUCAAACUGGAUAAACUAUCUAAAAUAUUUGCAAACUUUUAGCUGCUUCAUUGUAGUUAACUUAUUAAUUUGCUAACUUGAUUCAUACACUUUACUAAUCCAUGAAAACUGUACCUAAGGAGUGGCACACACAAUUAUAAGGAAAAGUGAUAGAAAAACAGGAAACAUUUCCUAUCACCAGUCUCUCCUAUAUGUAAGGAAAGUUUGAGUCUCUUCAUUAUUUUCUCUUUGAUGUCCUCCUCUUAAUUAAAUGAAUGAGACCUGACAUCCUCCGGAAAACAGUAUUGGUCCUCUGGUAUCUCUUGUAUUGAAGAACCAGGAGACCACAUGUGACGGCCAACCUCUCCCUCGUCCCUCAAGAUCCCCUCGUCACCAUACAAGUAAGGAUGAGGAGUGGGUGGAGUGAGGGGAGGUGUGGUGAGAAAGGAAGUUGUGAUGAUGAAAGCUAUGCUACCUCCUGAGUUAUGGUAUACUGUUACUGUUCUUAUGGGGUACCCAAUGUAUGCUCCGUUUCAUCAAAGAGGAAGAAUUACUCUAACAACUAGAUCGGUAGCGUUGCUGAGGAAAAUGACGGUUGCUAUGACAACUGUACAUAUACAUGUACAUCAAUGAAGAGAUA